Sciurus carolinensis (gray squirrel) is the source of this 494-nucleotide long non-coding RNA. RefSeq lists it as uncharacterized. NCBI's taxonomy places the organism in Eukaryota, Metazoa, Chordata, Mammalia, Rodentia, Sciuridae. The transcript has 3 exons. The record is from RefSeq and is a predicted model, not a curated record.
CCACUUCUAUGCUGAGGAUUCAUGGUGCUGGCAAAUAUGUUGAGAACCAACUUCUGGAGAGUCAGGAGAUGGGUGGAUUUGCCUCAGGUUGAACCAGAAGAGCUAUUCCUGACUAGUGAAACUGCUUACUGGGUGUUUAAAACCAAAAACAUGGGAGAUCAAAGUCAAGGGAGUAAAGUGUUCAAGGAAAAAGCAGCCAACAUUUUGGCCCUUGCCCCCUAAGUUCAGCCACAACCCAGAGAAUGAUGGGACCCCUCUCUGCAUCCUGCAACUCUGCAUGAUCCCUGCCCCAUGUGUGCCUUGUCCAGUCACCUGCCUCUGCCACUGUGGACCUCUGGCCUGCUCGGAUGCUGAACACCAUUCACUGUCCAGGCCCCACCUGAUAGAGAACAAGGACUUUGGGUUAUUUCCCCCAACUUUGCCCCCUUUCAGCAGGAAAAAGUUUGGAGAUGUCAUCACCCCUUAUUCCAUAGAAAUGGGAUGUAGAAAUUGAC